RNAcentral lists this ribosomal RNA (253 nucleotides) under uncultured bacterium. RNAcentral's name for it is "partial 16S ribosomal RNA". It matches the Rfam family "Bacterial small subunit ribosomal RNA", at positions 524 to 776 of the family's 1533-position model. The record is from RNAcentral.
UACGGAGGAUUCGAGCGUUAUCCGGAUUUAUUGGGUUUAAAGGGAGCGUAGGCGGGUUGGUAAGUCAGUUGUGAAAGUUUGCGGCUCAACCGUAAAAUUGCAGUUGAUACUGGCAUCCUUGAGUACAGUAGAGGUAGGCGGAAUUCGUGGUGUAGCGGUGAAAUGCUUAGAUAUCACGAAGAACUCCGAUUGCGAAGGCAGCCUGCUGGACUGUAACUGACGCUGAUGCUCGAAAGUGUGGGUAUCAAACAGG